CCUACGGGAGGCAGCAGUGGGGAAUAUUGGACAAUGGGCGAAAGCCUGAUCCAGCCAUGCCGCGUGUGUGAAGAAGGCCUUCGGGUUGUAAAGCACUUUCAGUGGGGAAGAAAGCCUUGGGGCUAAUACCCUCGAGGAAGGACAUCACCCACAGAAGAAGCACCGGCUAACUCCGUGCCAGCAGCCGCGGUAAUACGGAGGGUGCGAGCGUUAAUCGGAAUUACUGGGCGUAAAGCGCGCGUAGGCGGUCUGAUAAGCCGGUUGUGAAAGCCCCGGGCUCAACCUGGGAACGGCAUCCGGAACUGUCAGGCUAGAGUGCAGGAGAGGAAGGUAGAAUUCCCGGUGUAGCGGUGAAAUGCGUAGAGAUCGGGAGGAAUACCAGUGGCGAAGGCGGCCUUCUGGACUGACACUGACGCUGAGGUGCGAAAGCGUGGGUAGCAAACAGGAUUAGAUACCCUAGUAGU
RNAcentral lists this ribosomal RNA (464 nucleotides) under Vreelandella stevensii. RNAcentral describes it as "partial 16S ribosomal RNA". It matches the Rfam family "Bacterial small subunit ribosomal RNA", at positions 338 to 794 of the family's 1533-position model. Lineage: Bacteria; Pseudomonadati; Pseudomonadota; Gammaproteobacteria; Oceanospirillales; Halomonadaceae. The record is from RNAcentral.